GACAAACAGACGUUUCCAUCACCUCGUAGUCCGGUCAUCCCCAAGUUGACCCGCCACAGGGUCAAGCCGGGUCUGCCGGAGUGUCCCACAAGGAGGGAGCCGUGUGACAGAACCAUCUGUCUGCUUGGAUUUUUACCCCGUUCGUCUGUUUGUCCCCCGUUCGUAUGAAUGGCUGGUUUCUAUAGCCCAGCCAUUCGAAUGACUCUUUUUCCCGAACAAACCUGCCGAACGAACGGCCACCCAAGUGAGGAGUGUGCUGCUGGUUAACGAAGUGAUCCCAAUUAGAACGUUGUGGUUAACCGCAGACACUUCUCAAUUAAACCGAAUUCAGGGUGGUCGUCGUUCGUAUGUCGACCACGAGGCAGCGGC
Molecule: non-coding RNA, 369 nt
Organism: Pelobates cultripes (western spadefoot toad)
Lineage: Eukaryota; Metazoa; Chordata; Amphibia; Anura; Pelobatidae
Source: the annotation of a GenBank genome assembly